RNAcentral lists this ribosomal RNA (253 nucleotides) under uncultured bacterium. Its description in RNAcentral is "partial 16S ribosomal RNA". It matches the Rfam family "Bacterial small subunit ribosomal RNA", at positions 524 to 776 of the family's 1533-position model. The record is from RNAcentral.
UACAGAGGUGCCAAGCGUUAGGCGGAAUCACUGGGCUUAAAGCGUGUGUAGGUGGAUUUGUAAGUCCCUUGUGAAAUCCCAUGGCUCAACCAUGGAACUGCUCGGUAUACUGCGAAUCUUGAGCCACUUAGGGGCUACCGGAACAAAUGGUGGAGCGGUGAAAUGCGUAGAUAUCAGUUGGAACGCCAAUGGUGAAAACAGGUAGCUGGGAGUGUGCUGACACUGAGACACGAAAGCCAGGGGAGCGAACGGG